CAUCUUAUCACAGUCUCUUUGUGAGACGCAAAUAGCACACUAAUGUUUUCUUUUGUUAGGGUGAGUUGGCAAUCUCCUCAGAGAUGGAGCAACUACAGACAGCUCUUUUUUUUGAUAAUCUUCCUGACACUUGGAUGAGACUGGCUUAUCCAUCAACAUACAGUUGCUCAGUGGAGCCUCCUGAGUAAGGCAAAGAGCCACUGACUGAUGGAGUGAACGAGGACUGGAGAGCUGACCAAAGGACAGGAAAGCUCUGCCAAGCACAAAGACAGGUAGCACUAGAAGGCAAAACAAGCCCACUCUUCUGAGAUCAGUACAGACUUCUGAGAGAUCAAAAGUGGAAGAAGAAAUCUUGUUCAUCAGAAGACACAUUGAGAAGAGCAUCAGAGGUGAGAAAGGGAUAGCUGUCAACAGGAUGUGGAUGAAAGCACCAGUAACUCAUUUGGAAAAGAUCUAGCACCAGAAUAAAUGUACAACAGCUUACCAGGCUGAGAGAGGACAGGAUCUGCUGGUCUGAACGAUGGUUUGAUCUGUUACGAUGGGAGUGAAGUCUUCAGUUUGAAAAAUAUUAUUCUGCUUCCUGGGUCUGCAAAAGACAGGACCAGACUGCAAGGGAAAGCCUGGAGAGGAUUUCCAUGCUUUAAAAAGAGAAACAGGGGAAGACUGAAUUUCUUGAGGUCACUGAGGAAACGCAUGGCAGCGCUAGGAAAAGAAGCACUCGAGCAGCCGAGAUACCAUCUUCACAGCCAAAACCAGAUGGGUUUUCUCUGCAGUAUGACAUAACAGCAAAGACAGAGCAGGUCUGUGGAUUUUGUGGCAAUGAAGUUAAAUAAGGUUAAUUUCUGGGUGGUUGAGAGAUGUUUUUGUAAUUGCAUCACGGCAAAAG
Molecule: long non-coding RNA, 886 nt
Filed under: Lepidothrix coronata (blue-crowned manakin)
Lineage: Eukaryota; Metazoa; Chordata; Aves; Passeriformes; Pipridae
Description: lncRNA (ENSLCOG00000016337.1)
Source: RNAcentral